Molecule: ribosomal RNA, 451 nt
Filed under: uncultured bacterium
Lineage: Bacteria
Description: bacterial SSU rRNA
Rfam family: Bacterial small subunit ribosomal RNA
Source: RNAcentral
AGUCGGAAUAUUUGUCAAUGGGCGAAAGCUUGAACAAGCAAUGCCGCGUGAGCGAUGAAGGCCUUCGGGUUGUAAAGCUCUGUGUUUUGGGAAGAAAAACUGGUACAUAAACAAUAUGCCAGAUUGACGGUACCAUAAUAGAAAGCCCCGGCUAACUACGUGCCAGCAGCCGCGGUGAUACGUAGGGGGCAAGCGUUGUUCGGAAUUACUGGGUGUAAAGGGCGUACAGGCGGCUGAGUAAGUCGGAUGUGAAAUCCUUGGGCUCAACCUGAGAACUGCAUUUGAUACUGCUCGGCUUGAGGUUAGGAGAGGAAAGCGGAAUAUGUGGUGUAGCGGUGAAAUGCGCAGAUAUCACAUAGAACACCGGUGGCGAAGGCGGCUUUCUGGCCUAACUCUGACGCUGACGCGCGAAAGCUAGGGGAGCGAACGGGAUUAGAAACCCUGGUAGUCC